Molecule: non-coding RNA, 27 nt
Filed under: Mus musculus (house mouse)
Lineage: Eukaryota; Metazoa; Chordata; Mammalia; Rodentia; Muridae
Source: RNAcentral
UGAAAUGCUAGCUCCUGUAAGACACUG